Molecule: ribosomal RNA, 497 nt
Filed under: uncultured bacterium
Lineage: Bacteria
Description: partial 16S ribosomal RNA
Rfam family: Bacterial small subunit ribosomal RNA
Source: RNAcentral
GAUGAACGCUGGCGGCGUGCCUAAUACAUGCAAGUCGAGCGAACAGACGAGGAGCUUGCUCCUCUGACGUUAGCGGCGGAGGUGUGAGUAACACGUGGAUAACCUACCUAUAAGACUGGGACAACUUCGGGACACCGGAGCUAAUAGCGGAUAAUAUAUUGAACCGCAGGGUUCAAUAGUGAAAGACGGCUUUGGUGUAUGGUAUAGAUGCAUCCGAGCCGCAUGAGCUAGUUGUUACGUUAACGGCUUAUCAAGGCGACCAUGCGUGGGCGAACUGCGAGGCUGAUCGCCCACACUGGAACUUGGACACGGUCCAUGCGCCUACGGGAGGCAGCAGUAGCGUAUGGUCCGCAGUGGGCGAAAGCCUGACGGAGCGACGCCGCGUGUGUGAUGAAGGUCUUCGGUUCGUAAAGCUCUGUUAUUAGGGAAGAACAAAUGUGUACGUAACUAUGCACGUCUUGACGGUACCGAAUCAGAAAGCAACGGCUAACUACGUG